RNAcentral lists this ribosomal RNA (327 nucleotides) under uncultured eukaryote. Its description in RNAcentral is "partial 18S ribosomal RNA". It matches the Rfam family "Eukaryotic small subunit ribosomal RNA", at positions 1470 to 1796 of the family's 1831-position model. The record is from RNAcentral.
CCCUUAGAUGUUCUGGGCCGCACGCGCGCUACACUGACGAAUGCAACGAGCUUAUAACCUUGGCCGAAAGGUCUGGGUAAUCUCCAAAUUUCGUCGUGAUGGGGAUAGAUUAUUGCAAUUAUUAAUCUUCAACGAGGAAUGCCUAGUAAGCGCAAGUCAUCAGCUUGCGUUGAUUACGUCCCUGCCCUUUGUACACACCGCCUGUCGCUCCUACCGAUUGAAUGGUCCGGUGAAGCGUUCGGACCGUGGCCUUUGGACGGUUCGCCGUCUGUUGGCUGCGGGAAGUUCGUUAAACCUUAUCAUUUAGAGGAAGGAGAAGUCGUAACA